Long non-coding RNA from Mesocricetus auratus (golden hamster), 1842 nucleotides. RefSeq lists it as uncharacterized. Lineage: Eukaryota; Metazoa; Chordata; Mammalia; Rodentia; Cricetidae. The transcript is spliced from 3 exons. The record is from RefSeq and is a predicted model, not a curated record.
CCUAUGUGGUCUUUUCCUGAACGUCAGGGGAACUGUGCAAACUUAGGAUUUACGUAAUGGGUGGUCUAAGUUCUCUGAAAGUCGGUUUCUAAACCAUAGUCGGCGGGCUGAGGAUCUUCCUCCUAGGCUUUCGGGGGGCACCCUCACAGCAUCAGCACACCUGGGACCUAGCACCCACAACACAAACCCCAGGGAGACACACUCUAAUCAUAUCCAACGGCAGCGAGUCCCCAUGGGCAAGAGUUGGGAAUCUUCAGCCACGUUUCACAUCUUGCCUGCAUUUCUCGCUGUGGAUAAGGCUGGUCGCCCCUUCCAGAAGGUACAGCGAACAAAGCGGGUUGUGGGUGGGCUUCUCUGGACUGUGUAUGUCAUUUCCCCUUCUUUGUCCCCAUGGGCAUCUGACUCAGUACAGCAGGACUUAGCUGCGAGUCCUUCUGGCGAAGGUCUAAACGUGUGACCGAUCCCUGGGACUCUAAAACAGCAUGUUCUAGGAGGAAAGUGCAUGGACAUCUGGAGGGUGACAAGAUCUGGCUAACACGGCCCCCAGGAACAGAAGAACACACAAGGAGGCACCCCCGGAGACACUCACAGACCUCAGGCUAUGCACACAGUUCUGGAGGCGGGAGUCCAGGCGGACGGGACCCGGACUCCCUUCACCACAGCGAGGUGACAUCAGCAGACGCCACAGCGAGGUGACAUCAAGUGUGGGAAAACCCUGGCGCAGGCAGCAUAGGCAGCAUAGGCAGGCCGUGGCACCCUCCCUGCUUGAGGCCGUGACGAAGACCAGAACACCCACAAGGAAUGUGCGGAUUCAGCAGGAAUUAAGUCAGCGUAUACACCUGGCAGAGAACCAAAGGCACACCCAAACCCAGCCCCGCCACGCUGCAGUGAGCCCGUGACUCUGCUCAGAGUCUUUACACUUCAUUUGCUAGUAUAAAACAUGCCUGGGGACACCCGGAGCACAGCCAACUCCUGUCCUUCAAUCCGAGAAGACGCUACGGGCGCCAAAACCAGCUAUGGGCUGUGUGACAGAAUGUUCCAGGAAUGGUGGCAUAAAUUACCAGAGUCCUGGUCCAGCCAGGUGGCUCCUAAUGAGACAUUACUGCUGUCAGCUCUGGCUAAACCAGGCCUCUCCUGAGGACUGGGAAUGUGACGAAAACUCGGGAGAAGCCCACCCUUGCGAUGACCGUCCUGGACCUGUGGCUAUGGAGACCCCACCUGCCAGCUGGUUCUCCUUGGCUCUGAGAUGCCAGACGGCAGCUUGCACUGAGCUGUGGUCUUGCCCGUGCCUGCUGGGCUGAUGUUUGGAGCCCGUUCCCUGGCCUGAUCCCACGGGAUAGAGUUGGCACGCCAUCACCUUGUGGGCCCCGGGUCUGGCAGAGCCCAGUCACCAGGUCCCUCCACCUGGGAGCCCAGUCACUCUGCUCCUCCACCUGGGAGCCUCCCACCUGCUGCUCGUGUGACAGUCACUAAUGGGAAUGUCUGGCCAGACAGCCACCACCAGAUAUGUCACCCUUCCCCUAAACAUCUGCACCCCUUGUAGAUCCUUUAUGCAAUGCCGAAUCUGGGGUCCCACUGCAGACACCGUGACAUACACAAUAGGCAGAAAGCCCAGCUAGGACAGUGCUCCCGGGACAAUCAGCCAGGUGUCAGCCAAUCAACAGCUGGCCAAAGACCGUCAGCUGUCCGAACCAUAAUGCGAAUGUCACCAGCUGUCGCCAGUAUGACCAUCCUCCUACGUGUUUCCUCCCUGUCCCCCCACGCCCCAUUUUCUGUCCCCAACCAUCCUCCUCGCUAAGCCUGUCCAUUAUGAUAGAUUCGUAAAUAAAAAGCCAAGCGAGA